GGGGAGUUCUGUCUCUGUCUCUGUCCAUCUGUCUGCCUUGCAAAUAAAAUGAAAAGCAAAAAUUGGGGAGGGGGUGUGGGUAGUAGUUUUACACAUGCACAUUAUCCCCACACUCUCCUAGCUUCUCAGCCCCAUCAGUCUCUGACUUCUCUCCCUCUCCUCCCCAGGUCUCUUUCUGGCUGUCACCUCCCACUUCAGAGGACACAGGAGUGAUAGGAGCCCCCCCCCCCGCCGCCGCCCCCAUGUGGCCUUGGUAGGAAUGAGACGCCUGAGCAGCCCGGGAGGGCGCCGCCGAGUGGCACAGCAGACUUGGCUGAGCAGGCCAGGGAAACGACUUCAAAAUCCAUCCCAUCUGCCCACCCAUCCGCUCUUUCUCCAUACGGUGACAUGUGAUUGCUGCCGAUCGAAUUCCAGGGCGGCAAAGUUCUCAGACUCUCCAACAGCCUGAUUUGUUUUGCAAAAUCGAAGAGAAUUUCAUGCUGGUCUCCCAGCAAGCUGUGUGAGCAGGUGGAGCCGGCGGGAGGCAGCCGCGGCCUGAACGGAAGCUGCCGCAUUCAGAAAUGCUACCUCCUCCCCAGCCGCCCCCUGCUGCGUUCCCACCUCCACAGCCUGGAGGUUCCAGACCACAAACACCUUCUUUGCCGCCAGGAGUGCAGCCCCCGCACCUGUUACUAGAGCCCAGCAGAGAGGGAUGCCUCCUAAGUCACUCUCACAGAGACCCAAACCUGCCCUUCCUAUGCCGGCUUUGUGGCACAGCGGGGUAAAGCCGCUGUCUGCGACGCCAGCAUCUUAUGUUGGAUCACCGGUUCAAGUCCUGGCUGUUCCACUUCUGACCCAGCUCCCUACUAAGGCACCUGGGAAAGCAGCAGCAAACAACCCAAGUGCUUGGGCCCCUGCCACCCACGUAGGAGACCCCAUGGAGUUCCUGGUUCCUGGCUUCGGCCUGGUCCAGCCAUUUGGAGAGCGAAGCUGCAGAUGGAAGAUC
Molecule: non-coding RNA, 985 nt
Organism: Oryctolagus cuniculus (rabbit)
Lineage: Eukaryota; Metazoa; Chordata; Mammalia; Lagomorpha; Leporidae
Source: RefSeq, a predicted model, not a curated record